RNAcentral lists this ribosomal RNA (305 nucleotides) under uncultured bacterium. RNAcentral's name for it is "bacterial SSU rRNA". It matches the Rfam family "Bacterial small subunit ribosomal RNA", at positions 334 to 636 of the family's 1533-position model. The record is from RNAcentral.
AGGGCCUACGGGGCGCAGCAGUGAGGAAUAUUGGUCAAUGGACGAGAGUCUGAACCAGCCAAGUAGCGUGAAGGAUGACUGCCCUAUGGGCUGUAAACUUCUUUUAUAUGGGAAUAAAACGUUCCACGUGUGGGAUUUUGUAUGUACCAUAUGAAUAAGGAUCGGCUAACUCCGUGCCAGCAGCCGCGGUAAUACGGAGGAUCCGAGCGUUAUCCGGAUUUAUUGGGUUUAAAGGGAGCGUAGGUGGAUUGUUAAGUCAGUUGUGAAAGUUUGCGGCUCAACCGUAAAAUUGCAGUUGAAACUGG